Molecule: non-coding RNA, 31 nt
Filed under: Mus musculus (house mouse)
Lineage: Eukaryota; Metazoa; Chordata; Mammalia; Rodentia; Muridae
Source: RNAcentral
AGAAAAAGAAUAACACGAUGUCCUGGUGUCU